CAGCAGCCGCGGGAAUACGUAGGUGGCAAGCGUUGUCCGGAAUUAUUGGGCGUAAAGGGCUCGCAGGCGGUUUCUUAAGUCUGAUGUGAAAGCCCCCGGCUCAACCGGGGAGGGUCGUUGGAAACUGGGAAACUUGAGUGCAGAAGAGGAGAGUGGAAUUCCACGUGUAGCGGUGAAAUGCGUAGAGAUGUGGAGGAACACCAGUGGCGGAGGCGACUCUCUGGUCUGUAACUGACGCUGAGGAGCGAAAGCGUGGGGAGCGAACAGGAUUAGAUACCCCCGUAGUCCCUGUCUCUUAUAC
This 301-nucleotide ribosomal RNA is filed under the name uncultured bacterium. Its description in RNAcentral is "partial 16S ribosomal RNA". It matches the Rfam family "Bacterial small subunit ribosomal RNA", at positions 509 to 807 of the family's 1533-position model. The record is from RNAcentral.